Molecule: ribosomal RNA, 108 nt
Filed under: Triticum aestivum (bread wheat)
Lineage: Eukaryota; Viridiplantae; Streptophyta; Magnoliopsida; Poales; Poaceae
Description: partial small subunit ribosomal RNA
Source: RNAcentral
AUACCUAGACAGGGUUUACGACUGAUCAAGAAGGGUCGUGGCCUAGAUCAACGGCUCACAUUGCACUUGGCGAGCAUGUUGGUCUAUCAUCUGCCCAAUUGGGAGAAU